This 246-nucleotide ribosomal RNA is filed under the name uncultured bacterium. RNAcentral describes it as "partial small subunit ribosomal RNA". It matches the Rfam family "Bacterial small subunit ribosomal RNA", at positions 26 to 286 of the family's 1533-position model. The record is from RNAcentral.
AGAAUCAACGCUGGCGGCGUGCCUAACACAUGCAAGUCGAACGAGAAAGUGGAGCAAUCCAUGAGUAAAGUGGCGACCGGGUGAGUAACACGUGACUAACCUACCUUCGAGUGGGGGAUAACCUCGGGAAACCGAGGCUAAUACCGCAUAACAUCGCAAGAUCAAAGCAGCAAUGCGCUGGAAGAGGGGGUCGCGGCUGAUUAGCUAGUUGGCGGGGUAACGGCCCACCAAGGCGAAGAUCGGUAU